Long non-coding RNA from Pyrus x bretschneideri (Chinese white pear), 529 nucleotides. RefSeq lists it as uncharacterized. The record is from RefSeq and is a predicted model, not a curated record. The transcript has 2 exons. NCBI's taxonomy places the organism in Eukaryota, Viridiplantae, Streptophyta, Magnoliopsida, Rosales, Rosaceae.
UCACUUUUGGUUUACCCUUAUUUCCAUGAUUUUGUUAUUAAUUAAUUAAUUAAUUCUAAAUGUUCAAUUUUGUUUCAUCACUUUCAAUUCACACUCUUCUCUUUCUCACUCUUCACCUGUAGAGCCGUUGUCAGGUACGACGAUGAUCUGUGCUUUAUUUUAUGACGAUGAUUGUUAUUCAAUUUUCCCAUUUCAUUUUUAACAUUUUUCAAUUCACACUCUUCUCUUUCUCACUCUUAACCUGUACAGCUGUCCCGUGUCUAUAAGUGGUUCAAUGCAUUAGACGUGAAUAGCUGGCGUGAUGGGAAAUGAUUUUGUCGGAGAAGAAAAAUGUCACGCCUGCAUGUUUAUUAGGCACUCGUCGACUCAUAUUCAAAGGUACUGAGCUUAAAUGUGUCUUUAUUGUUCUGUUUUCUAUUUGGUACUCAUAUGUUCCUCAAGCUUAAAUGUGUCUUGAAAUGCCACCUUUGUAUUUGUAUGAGACGCAACUUGGUUCACAAACCUAUGGGCCCAAAACUAUCUUCUAAAA